UACCGAGGUCUCAAGCGUUGUUCGGAUUCAUUGGGCGUAAAGGGUGCGUAGGUGGCGGGGUAAGUCAGGUGUGAAAUCUCGGGGCUCAACCCCGAAACUGCACUUGAUACUGCCUUGCUUGAGUACUGGAGAGGAGAUUGGAAUUUACGGUGUAGCAGUGAAAUGCGUAGAUAUCGUAAGGAAGAACAGUGGCGAAGGCGAAUCUCUGGACAGUUACUGACACUGAGGCACGAAGGCCAGGGGAGCAAACGGG
Molecule: ribosomal RNA, 253 nt
Filed under: uncultured bacterium
Lineage: Bacteria
Description: partial 16S ribosomal RNA
Rfam family: Bacterial small subunit ribosomal RNA
Source: RNAcentral